GGGGUCGUAGUUCAGCCUGGUGAGAACGCUGGCCUGUCACGCCAGAGGUCGCGGGUUCAAUUCCCGUCGGCCCCGCCU
This 78-nucleotide transfer RNA is filed under the name bacterium. RNAcentral describes it as "tRNA-Asp". It matches the Rfam family "tRNA". From Rfam's summary of the family: Transfer RNA (tRNA) molecules are approximately 80 nucleotides in length. Their secondary structure includes four short double-helical elements and three loops (D, anti-codon, and T loops). The record is from RNAcentral.